Molecule: ribosomal RNA, 451 nt
Filed under: uncultured bacterium
Lineage: Bacteria
Description: partial 16S ribosomal RNA
Rfam family: Bacterial small subunit ribosomal RNA
Source: RNAcentral
AGCGAACGCUGGCGGCAUGCCUAACACAUGCAAGUCGCACGGGGGGGCUUCGGCCUCCCAGUGGCGGACGGGUGAGGAACGCGUAGGGACCUGUCGAGGGGUGGGGGAUAACCGCGGGAAACUGCGGCUAAUACCGCAUGACGCCGCGGCGUGACAGCCGGGGCCAAAGGCGAAAGCCGCCCGCCGAGGGGCCUGCGUCCGUUUAGCUGGUUGGCGGGGUAGCGGCCCACCAAGGCGUCGAUCGGUAGCUGGUCUGAGAGGGUGAUCAGCCACACCGGGACUGAGACACGGCCCGGACUCCUACGGGAGGCAGCAGUGGGGAAUAUUGGACAAUGGGCGCAAGCCUGAUCCAGCAAUGCCGCGUGGGUGAAGAAGGUCUUCGGAUUGUAAAGCCCUUUCGGCGGGGACGAUGGUGACGGUACCCGCAGAAGAAGCCCCGGCUAACUUCGUG